ACUCGAGAAAAGGAUCUUAGUCCUACCUAAACACCCUGUAAUUAUACCAAAUAAACACUUAAAUUUAGAGCUAUUCAAAUAAGGUACAGCCUAUUUGAAAAAGGAAACAACCUAAAACAAUGGGUAUUAUUAUGAUACCCCACAACCUAGUGGGCCUAAAAGCAGCCAACUCUUAAAAAGCGUCAAACCUUAAUUGUGUCAAUCUUUAAUGCUCACACCCACACUGACCCCUUCAACAGUAUCGAGUAAUUCUAUAUUCAUAUAGAACUUUUCAUGUUAAUAUUAGUAACAAGAAGACUGACCUUCUCUUAAAUGCGAACAAAAAUCAGCAAGAACACACCACUGACAAUUAACACCCAUGGACCCUAAAUAGCAACUUAACAAGAAAAACCUCCACAACAUUCUGUUAACCUUACACAAGAGCAUUAAAAGAAAGAUUAAAAGAAAAAGAAGGAACUCGGCAAAAUUAACCUCGCCUGUUUACCAAAAACAUCGCCUCUUGCACCCAUAAGAGGUCCAGCCUGCCCAGUGACCCUGUUCAACGGCCGCGGUAUCCUAACCGUGCGAAGGUAGCGUAAUCACUUGCCCCCUAAAUAGGGGCCGGUAUGAACGGCACCACGAAGGUUUAACUGUCUCCUUUUUCUAAUCAGUGAAAUUAAUCUCCCCGUGAAGAAGCGGGGAUAAAUACAUAAGACGAGAAGACCCUAUGGAGCUUUAAAUGUUAACAACAAUUGCUCUACCACCCAACAUAGCACUAUGAUUGUUAAUUUUAGGUUGGGGCGACCACGGAGCAAAACUUAACCUCCUUGUUGAAGGAAUCAUCCUAUAGCAAAAACUAACAACUUUAAGCAUCAUUAAAUUGACAUACAUUGACCCAAUAUUUUGAUCAACGAACCAAGUUACCCUAGGGAUAACAGCGCCAUCCACCUCAAGAGCCCCUAUCGACAGGUGGGUUUACGACCUCGAUGUUGGAUCAGGGCAUCCCAGUGGUGUAGCCGCUACUAAAGGUUCGUUUGUUCAACGAUUAAAGCCCU
Molecule: ribosomal RNA, 1034 nt
Filed under: Hemiphractus helioi
Lineage: Eukaryota; Metazoa; Chordata; Amphibia; Anura; Hemiphractidae
Description: partial 16S ribosomal RNA
Rfam family: Bacterial large subunit ribosomal RNA
Source: RNAcentral